This 363-nucleotide transfer-messenger RNA is filed under the name Salmonella enterica. RNAcentral's name for it is "Standard tmRNA". It matches the Rfam family "transfer-messenger RNA". From Rfam's summary of the family: Bacterial tmRNA, also known as 10Sa RNA or SsrA, is named for its dual tRNA and mRNA-like properties. Its role is to liberate the mRNA from a stalled ribosome. RNAcentral also lists the same sequence under 31 other names. Lineage: Bacteria; Pseudomonadati; Pseudomonadota; Gammaproteobacteria; Enterobacterales; Enterobacteriaceae. The record is from RNAcentral.
GGGGCUGAUUCUGGAUUCGACGGGAUUUGCGAAACCCAAGGUGCAUGCCGAGGGGCGGUUGGCCUCGUAAAAAGCCGCAAAAAAAUAGUCGCAAACGACGAAAACUACGCUUUAGCAGCUUAAUAACCUGCUUAGAGCCCUCUCUCCCUAGCCUCCGCUCUUAGGACGGGGAUCAAGAGAGGUCAAACCCAAAAGAGAUCGCGCGGAUGCCCUGCCUGGGGUUGAGGCGUUAAAACGAAUCAGGCUAGUCUGGUAGUGGCGUGUCCGUCCGCAGGUGCCAGGCGAAUGUAAAGACUGACUAAGCAUGUAGUACCGAGGAUGUAGGAAUUUCGGACGCGGGUUCAACUCCCGCCAGCUCCACCA